Molecule: ribosomal RNA, 497 nt
Filed under: uncultured bacterium
Lineage: Bacteria
Description: partial 16S ribosomal RNA
Rfam family: Bacterial small subunit ribosomal RNA
Source: RNAcentral
AUUGAACGCUGGCGGCAGGCCUAACACAUGCAAGUCGAACGGUAACAGGAAGAAGCUUGCUUCCUUGCUGACGAGGGGGGGAGGGGUGAGACAUGUCUGUGAAAUAGCCUGAUGGAGGGGGAUAACUACUGGAAACGGUAGCUAAUACGGCAUAACGUUGCAAGAGCAUAGAGGGGGAGUGUAGGGCGGUUUGCCAUCGGCUGAGCGCAGAAGCCAGUAGGGAUUAGCUAGUUGGUCGGGUAACGGCUGACCAAGGCAACGAUGCCUAGCUGACCUGAGAGGGUGAUCGGCCACACUGGAACUGAGACACGGUCCAGACUCCUACGGGAGGCAGCAGUGGGGAAUCUUGCACAAUGGGCGCAAGCCUGAUGGAGCAAUGCCGCGUGUAUGAAGAAGGCCUUCGGAUUGUAAAGUACUUUUAGCGGGGAGGAAGGGAGUUGUGUUUAUACCUUUGCUUCUUGACGUUACCCACACAAGAAGCCCCGGCUAACUCCGUG